CCUAGAGAGGGUGUUCAAGGAUCCAUCUCGUGGCUCAGUGAUUGAGUUUACUGCUGGAAGAUUCACCUAUGAAGUCAAUUCGGAAGUCAUGAUCCAGAUAAAUACAAGCUCACACACCCAACGACUGGUAAGAAGARGGCCGAUGUUCAAAUCAUCCAUAGAUGUUCAGAGAGCUACUAGCACAUCUAAUACCCCCACUUCUUCUGUGCCACCUUUCUGGGACCAGUCUCGGUUGCCUGGGAUUGGCUUUGAGAGAGUUAUGUUGCCAAACUCAGCAAAGGAAUACAAAGACAUCAAGGCCCUUUUUGAUAAAACAACAGUGGGGUUCAACAUACGCACCAUCGAGAGAGUGCAAAACCCUAUCCUAUGGAAGUUCUACGUGCUGUAGGUUUCUAAAAGACAGUAUCAAAAACAGAUGUAUUUAGUUUUUUCUUUAAUUGGGGUUUAAUUGACCCAAGUAUAUUCCUUUUUAGGCAAAGAGAUCAGAUGAA
This is a long non-coding RNA of Salvelinus sp. IW2-2015, 491 nucleotides long. RefSeq lists it as uncharacterized. NCBI's taxonomy places the organism in Eukaryota, Metazoa, Chordata, Actinopteri, Salmoniformes, Salmonidae. The record is from RefSeq and is a predicted model, not a curated record.